AACUGGUUUACGUCUGUUCUUUGUGUUGCUAUAGACUUGUUGUUUGGGUUUGUGUUAUCUUUUUGAUCUGCAGGACUAAUAGUAAAAGUCUGUAGCUUCAGUUAUAGACUAAGAUUACUACUCUGCCAGAAGUAGUGAAUAAAGAAUCAACUGGGUGGGAUGAAUCACGUUUCACUUGUGCUGCCCAGGCUGGAGUGCAGUGGCACUAUCUUGGCACACUGUGGCUUAUGUCACGGGUUCAAGCGAUUCUGCUGUCUCAGCCUCCCAAGUAUGGAUUACAGACAAUGCUAGGAGCCAGAAACAUGAGGAAUACAUGAGCUCGGCGCCAAUGGAACAUGCUUUCACACCGGGUGCAGCUAACCACCACAUCAUACAAAACUCGUCGCUGACGUUUUAGAUGUAUAAUCUGAUUGGCAUGGACUCACAGAGGAGGGAGUAAGGGAAGAGUAAGAAGAUUUCAAAGGAGAGACACAGGUUGCAGGUUAGCAGGAGAACAGGCAAGCCAAAUGCAAAGGAGCCACUUCAGAAAUGUGUCACAGAAAAGU
RNAcentral lists this long non-coding RNA (545 nucleotides) under Homo sapiens (human). RNAcentral describes it as "glucosaminyl (N-acetyl) transferase 2 (I blood group) (ENSG00000285222.3)". The record is from RNAcentral. Lineage: Eukaryota; Metazoa; Chordata; Mammalia; Primates; Hominidae.